Molecule: ribosomal RNA, 468 nt
Filed under: uncultured bacterium
Lineage: Bacteria
Description: partial 16S ribosomal RNA
Rfam family: Bacterial small subunit ribosomal RNA
Source: RNAcentral
GACGAACGCUGGCGGCGUGCUUAACACAUGCAAGUCGAACGGAAAGACCCUGCUUUUGUUCCUUUCUCGAUUGCCGAACGGGUGUGUAACACGUGUGUAUCCUGCCCUUGUCUUUGUGGUAUCUUCAGGAAACUCGGGCUCAUACCGCAUAGGAUCUCCUGCUGCAUGUUGUUGGUUGGAAAGUUUCGGCGGUUGUGGAUGGUCUCGCGGGUUAUCCGCUUGUUUGUGGGGUAGUGGCUUACCAAGGCUGUGACGGGUAGGCGGCCUGAGAGGGGUACCGGCGACAUGGCGACUGAGAGACGGAGCAGAAUCGUACGGGAGGCAGCGGUGGAGAGUAUGGCACAACGGGCGGAAGUGUGAGGCAGCGACGCCGCGAGCGGGAAAAUGGCUUUCGGGUGGAGAACAGAUUUGGCAGGAGACGAAGAGUGAGUGACGGUAAUGGGUAAAGAAGCACCGGCUAACUACGUG